This is a long non-coding RNA of Oppia nitens, 380 nucleotides long. RefSeq lists it as uncharacterized. The transcript has 3 exons. Lineage: Eukaryota; Metazoa; Arthropoda; Arachnida; Sarcoptiformes; Oppiidae. The record is from RefSeq and is a predicted model, not a curated record.
AUAAGAAAAAGUUUAUCAUUUUAUUUAUCUUAUGUAACAUUGCAUUAACAGAGUCUAAUAAAGCUAAAUGUAUUGAAAACUGUGUGAAUGGCAACUGCGAUACCAAUGGUCAAUGUAUUUGUGAUCAAUGUUGGGAAGGCAUCAAAUGUGACCAAUUUGUGGACAACUAUUCACCAAAUUUUGAUAGCAAUGAAAAAGUCAUUUACAUUAAUAGAGAUCACAUCGCGAGUAAUAAACCUAUAUUUGUGGCGAAAGCUCACGACAGGGAUAGAGAGCUAACUUGUCAUCAGAUAAAUAAAGAUUGUAUUUGCGGUCAAAUUGUUUAUGAAUUAAAAUCAGAAAAAAAUGUCAAGUCUUUGUUUAAAAUAAAUGAAAAAUCA